AUGCGGCGGGCUCGGGGCGCGGCGCUGCCGGCGCUGGCCGCGCUGAUCAUCGUGGCUAUGGUCAGAGCCCAGGUGCAGCAGGAGCCAUUCCUGGAGACCACCGAGGGCACCGGCAUCAACAUCACCUGCUCACAUCCCAAAAUCCAGACCAGCGAUUGGAUCCAGUGGUACCGUCAGCUGCCUGGCCGAGAACCCGAAAUCCUCACAGUCAUAAUGAAAGAGUCCAAAGAGCUUCCGGACAGUGCGGGCCGUGUGUGGGUGUCGGCAGAUCAGCGUCGGAGCGCGCUGUGGCUCGGGCGGCCCCGGCGCGGCGACGCGGCCGUGUAUUACUGCGCGCUGGGGCCACGGGCAGAGGAGCCGGGGCUGCGGCCGGGCACGAACCGCCGCGGGCGGGGCCGGGCGGGGCCAGCAGGGGGCGCUGCCGGGGCGCGGCUCCGCAGCUCCUUCCGCUGCCCCGAGCCCGCACGCACCGGCACCGCCAGCGACACCGAAAGUGCCCUGAAGAACAAUUCGGGGGUCCCCACAUGA
Molecule: non-coding RNA, 528 nt
Organism: Passer domesticus (house sparrow)
Lineage: Eukaryota; Metazoa; Chordata; Aves; Passeriformes; Passeridae
Source: the annotation of a RefSeq genome assembly